CGAAUUCUAUAUAAAGAAAAUAAUAUAUGAUGACAUAGAAUCAUGCUAAUAAAGAAAAAUAUUAUGAAUGAUAUAGGUUGUUAUGUAAUUUUUAAAAUUAUUCUAACGAGAGCAUGCUAAUAAAGAAAAAUAAUAUAAAUUGAUAUUAGAUCAACUUAAUAAAUAAUUUCUAAAAUUAUGCCAACAAAUCCAAUAGCAAUUUUGUAAGCAGGAGGAGGCUUGCUUGGUGAACUUGAGAAAGACAAAAAAAAUGGGAAACACCUCGGAUGGUAGCAAAAACAAGAGGCACGGAGUCCAUGAAUAUAAGGUUUUAGAAUUUCAGCACCAUGCUGAACUUGGCAUGCAAACAGCCAUUGCAAACUCCGUCGCGUUCACGGCUGCCAGUCUCAUGCGGGGGUGACGGAGAGAGGUGGAAGAAUAAACCCGGCGUGCAUUCUAUUUUACUUAUUCGGACCGUUAUCCGGGAUUAUCGGGUCGCCCCGCGGGACCCACUACCCAAAACGUCCUUCUCCUCCAUUCACUGCAUCCACCCGUCGCCAGCACAGCAUCAGAAAACAGCUGGCUAUCCCGCCCGUUGAGGCCAACCGUUUAUAAGCCCCUCUUUUGCCUCAUCCCUCCUCUUACGCCUCCGCCUUCCAAAAGCCGACGAGAGAGAGAGAGAGAGG
RNAcentral lists this long non-coding RNA (665 nucleotides) under Phoenix dactylifera (date palm). RNAcentral describes it as "long non-coding RNA (PDAC_LNC018564)". The record is from RNAcentral. Lineage: Eukaryota; Viridiplantae; Streptophyta; Magnoliopsida; Arecales; Arecaceae.